This 253-nucleotide ribosomal RNA is filed under the name uncultured bacterium. RNAcentral describes it as "partial 16S ribosomal RNA". It matches the Rfam family "Bacterial small subunit ribosomal RNA", at positions 524 to 776 of the family's 1533-position model. The record is from RNAcentral.
UACGGAGGGUGCAAGCGUUAAUCGGAAUUACUGGGCGUAAAGCGCACGCAGGCGGUUUGUUAAGUCAGAUGUGAAAUCCCCGGGCUCAACCUGGGAACUGCAUUUGAAACUGGCGAGCUAGAGUCUCGUAGAGGGGGGUAGAAUUCCAGGUGUAGCGGUGAAAUGCGUAGAGAUGUGGAGGAACACCGGUGGCGAAGGCGGCCCCCUGGACAAAUACUGACGCUCAGGCGCGAAAGCGUGGGGAGCGAACAGG